Molecule: long non-coding RNA, 864 nt
Filed under: Vigna radiata
Lineage: Eukaryota; Viridiplantae; Streptophyta; Magnoliopsida; Fabales; Fabaceae
Description: long non-coding RNA (VRAD_LNC001900)
Source: RNAcentral
GGGAACAAUGUAAUCUUUUGAAACUCUCAUAUAUUCAAAUUCUUAUUUAUUUCAUAUGCUUGUCAUAUACUUGUUUAUCAAUUGUUGGGUUCUCAUUUGUGCUCAAUGCUUUUAUUAGUUAACUCAUUCAGUAAAAGAUGUUUGUCUUUAUCGAUAUGGGGACGUACGGUAAUGUCAUGAACUGGUGGGAAAUUCCUUGAUUAUGCCAAUAUCACCUAGGGAUAGGGGUAGGACAAUCAAUUGUAGUUGCUUCCGAUCGCAUUGCAUUAUUGGUUACUAGGGGAGGCUAGGGAUAGGAAGCCGGUAAUUAAUAAUAGACUCUUUUCACCAAGGGAUUGGGUUAAGGGUAAAUAAGAAAGUGUGCAUGGAAAUUAAAUAAAUAAGUGAAGUAAAUAAGAAGAGUAGAUAUAUGAGAGUGGAUAAGAUGAAAUUGUAAACCCCAACAACACCAUUCAUCCAUAGUUUCUCAAAACCAACUGAAUCAACUGCAUUGCAUGUUUAUUUUUGUUCUUUGCAUAUAACCACCAAAUUUAUUCUUCUCUCAAGUCUUAUAAGAUUUGUUUACAUGAAAGUUAAGGCCUAAGAGUCCUUUGGGAAAACGAUACUCGGACUUACCCGUUUAUAUUACUUGAUAACGAUCUGGUACACUUGCCAGGGACUUAACAUGCCUCCAUUCUUUUAUAUGCUCCCUGAGUGCUUUUUUGAAUUGAGAGAGAUUCCCUCAAGAAUUGUUGGAGAGUCUCUUCAAACUUUGUAGCACUGUGAGCUUGUAGUGGUCUAGUGAAUAGCCCACUUGUUUGCUCAAAUGGAUUUUGAUUUAUGCUUGAGUGUAAUCUCACCAGUGGUUGAAGUUGUUUAGAACAC